Molecule: signal recognition particle RNA, 148 nt
Filed under: Homo sapiens (human)
Lineage: Eukaryota; Metazoa; Chordata; Mammalia; Primates; Hominidae
Description: Metazoan signal recognition particle RNA
Rfam family: Metazoan signal recognition particle RNA
About the family: The signal recognition particle (SRP) is a universally conserved ribonucleoprotein. It is involved in the co-translational targeting of proteins to membranes.
Source: Rfam by way of RNAcentral
GCUGGGCGUGGUGGCGCACGCCUGUAAUCCCAGCUACUUGGGAGGCUGAGGCAGGAGAAUCACUUGAACCCAGGAGUCGGAGGUGGAAGUGAGCAGAGAUGGCGCCACUGCACUCCAGCCUAGGCAACACAGUGAGACUCCGUCUCAA